CCUUAGUAACUGCGAGUGAAGCGGCAAAAGCUCAAAUUUGAAAUCUGUCGCCUCCGGCGGCCGAGUUGUAAUUUGGAGGGAUAUCUUCGGGGACGGCGCCGCCCUAAGUUUCUUAGAACAGGACAUCAUAGAGGGUGAGAAUCCCGUGCCUGGGUGGCUGCCCCGUCUCCAUGUGAAGUGUCUCCGACGAGUCGAGUUGUUUGGGAAUGCAGCUCAAAAUGGGUGGUAAAUUUCAUCUAAAGCUAAAUAUUGGCGAGAGACCGAUAGCGCACAAGUAGAGUGAUCGAAAGAUGAAAAGCACUUUGAAAAGAGAGUUAAAAAGUACGUGAAAUUGUUGAAAGGGAAGCGCUUGCGACCAGACUUGAUCUUUGGUGAUCAGCCGGGCUUCUGUCCGGUGCCCUCGCCGCUGAUCAGGCCAGCAUCGGUUCCGGGGGCGGGAUAAAAGGUGGGGGAAUGUGGCUUCCUUCGGGGAGUGUUAUAGCCCCUGUCACAAUGCCGCCACUUGGGACCGAGGACCGCGCUUCGGCUAGGAUGCUGGCGUAAUGGUCUUAAGCGACCCGUCUUGAAACACGGACCAAGGAGUCUAACAUCUAUGCGAGUGUUCGGGUGGAAAACCCUUGCGCGUAAUGAAAGUGAACGUAGGUGUGAACCCGCGAGGGUGCAACAUCGACCGGUCCCGAUGUCUUC
Molecule: ribosomal RNA, 687 nt
Filed under: Sphaerosporium sp.
Lineage: Eukaryota; Fungi; Ascomycota; Pezizomycetes; Pezizales; Pyronemataceae
Description: partial large subunit ribosomal RNA
Rfam family: Eukaryotic large subunit ribosomal RNA
Source: RNAcentral